Molecule: long non-coding RNA, 280 nt
Filed under: Mytilus galloprovincialis (Mediterranean mussel)
Lineage: Eukaryota; Metazoa; Mollusca; Bivalvia; Mytilida; Mytilidae
Source: RNAcentral
GUUUCUACAAUGUGCGACAUUAUAAUAUUCAGUACGAAAGGUUAUUAUUCAGGUCAGAUAGCUGAGAGGCAGAUCGAUACUGAACUUAGUACUGAUUCCAUGUGUUCAUUCUUUAUUUAUUUUUUAUAUGUCGCUGGCAACAUUGAACAGACAUAGAUGGGGAGACAUAAUCAAUGGGAUAUGCUGGUAUCAAGACGGAAAACCUUAUAUUGUUUAAAGUAUCGAUUUUAUCUGAUUUAAGUGGAGCAGUGAUAAUUAAACGUAAAAUGUUACAGAGAAG